UGGGGAAUUUUGGACAAUGGGCGCAAGCCUGAUCCAGCCAUGCCGCGUGCGGGAAGAAGGCCUUCGGGUUGUAAACCGCUUUUGUCAGGGAAGAAAUCUUCUGAGUUAAUACCUCGGGAGGAUGACGGUACCUGAAGAAUAAGCACCGGCUAACUACGUGCCAGCAGCCGCGGUAAUACGUAGGGUGCAAGCGUUAAUCGGAAUUACUGGGCGUAAAGCGUGCGCAGGCGGUUUUGUAAGACAGAGGUGAAAUCCCCGGGCUCGACCUGGGAACUGCCUUUGUGACUGCAAGGCUUGAGUGCGGCAGAGGGGGAUGGAAUUCCGCGUGUAGCAGUGAAAUGCGUAGAUAUGCGGAGGAACACCGAUGGCGAAGGCAAUCCCUGGGCCUGCACUGACGCUCAUGCACGAAAGCGUGGGGAGCAAACAGGAUUAGAUACCCUGGUAGUCCACGCCCUAAAACGAUGUCAACUGGUUGUUGGGAAGGUUCCUUCUCAGUAACGUAGCUAACGCGUGAAGUUGACCGCCUGGGGAGUACGGCCGCAAGGUUGAAACUCAAAUGAAUUGACGGGGU
RNAcentral lists this ribosomal RNA (571 nucleotides) under uncultured bacterium. Its description in RNAcentral is "partial 16S ribosomal RNA". It matches the Rfam family "Bacterial small subunit ribosomal RNA", at positions 355 to 919 of the family's 1533-position model. The record is from RNAcentral.